CAUAAAUCGAAGCUUUAGCCAAAAAAAAAUCGGCUUACGAAGAAUAUAACUACCUCAACCGACUUGACGCGUGCAAGUUCAUGCAAUCUGGUUAAAUUAAUAAAAUACUUACAUCGGACUGGAAAAAUAAUGUUGAUUUUUGAGGAUUUAUACCGAUGGCCAACAAGGCAGCAAGCAUAUCGAGACGGGCUUGUCUAAAUUUAAGAGGAUCUUGCGGAACGGUUAAAGCAUGCAAAUCGGCAACAAAGAAGAAGCAUUUGGAGAAUGGGGUACGAGCGGCUUCCUCUUGUAGUUGAACCCAUUGCUUUAGAGAUCCCAAAUAAUUGCCAAUGUGAGGAAUUCCAGUAGGCUGAAUACCUGAAACAACUCUGCUAUGUGGAAGGAGAGAAGUGAUUUUUGGAAGUUUAGCCAUUCUUUAUUACUUUUUAUUUAAUUGGUUUAUAAAGUGAACAAAUAAAUAAAGAUAAAGAAUAAAUGUAAUGAAAAUAAAAAAAAACAGCUGUGUUAUAAUCCAACUGAUUACAGCUCGCAGACAAUUUUUUCAAAAAGGAACAAGGCCGUAGAAACGAAUGCUACACUUAUGACUAGGUCAGAAUGAAAACAAGCAAAAUAUAGGAGGAAUGUUCAAUGACACGCAGAUAAGACAACAGGAUAGAAACUUUUCUUCUCUACCAAAGAUAGUUGAUAAAUGGUAUCAAAACGGGAUUAUUUUUUUGGUAAAAUCAAGUAGCUAAAGUUCAUAACCAUACAAUUAAAGCGUUGCAAUACCUCAGAAACUGAGAAGAUGCCUAUAACAAAAAAUGGGAUAAGAAACCCAAACUAUGGGAGGAAAAAAAAGAUUAAAGGCGGAAAGUGAUAUUGUUAGAAAGUAUGGAGAAAAUCCUACAAUGGUGGGUAUUUGAAUUCUUCAUAAAAGAAGGAUAGUUUACAUGGAGCGAGUCAUUGAAUGAACUUUAAGCCGUUAAAAAUCUACCGAAAAUAGCUCGUUUAAGC
Non-coding RNA from Schizosaccharomyces pombe (fission yeast), 993 nucleotides. Lineage: Eukaryota; Fungi; Ascomycota; Schizosaccharomycetes; Schizosaccharomycetales; Schizosaccharomycetaceae. The record is from the annotation of a GenBank genome assembly.